GUGAGGAAUAUUGGACAAUGGGCGCAAGCCUGAUCCAGCCAUGCCGCGUGCAGGAAGACGCAUCUAUGGUGUGUAAACUGCUUUUGUACGGGAAGAAACACUCCCUCGUGAGGGAGCUUGACGGUACCGUAAGAAUAAGGAUCGGCUAACUCCGUGCCAGCAGCCGCGGUAAUACGGAGGAUCCAAGCGUUAUCCGGAAUCAUUGGGUUUAAAGGGUCCGUAGGCGGUUUAAUAAGUCAGUGUGAAAGCCCAUCGCUCAACGAUGGAACGGCCAUUGAUACUGUUAGACUUGAAUUACAAGGAAGUAACUAGAAUAUGUAGUGUAGCGGUGAAAUGCUUAGAUAUUACAUGGAAUACCAAUUGCGAAGGCAGCUCACUAAGGCGAUACUGACGCUGAGGCACGAAAGCGUGGGGAUCGAACAGGAUUAGAAACCCGGGUAGUCC
Molecule: ribosomal RNA, 444 nt
Filed under: uncultured bacterium
Lineage: Bacteria
Description: partial 16S ribosomal RNA
Rfam family: Bacterial small subunit ribosomal RNA
Source: RNAcentral